GGAUGCAGUCAUGUCAGGUUUAGGAUUUUUUGUCAGAUAAUUAUUGUUCGAACUCCUAUUGUUUCUUCCUUUGAUACUGUGUAAAAUGCUUUUGCACUAUAUCACCCACUUCCCUUUUCAUUUAUAUGCACUUCAAAAACUCAUAAAAGUUCAUUUACCAAAGUCUACACAGAUUAGAGAUUUCUUUUCUUCAGAUUUAAGACCCAAAGAAUGCCAAUGCUAAUUAUUCUGAAGGUAAAAGUCUGAAUCAGCCAUUUCCAACCAUGUUUUAAGUAUUAGAUAUCAAAUAUCUGGAAAAUGAGUUCCAUUAUAUAAACCUAUCAGUAUUUUUAGCUUAUUGUGUUCCUUUACUUAUUCUCCUCUCUGCUGUAUAGUAUCAGUUAUAAAUUUUAGAUUUUUAAAUUUCACCUGACUACAUCCUUAUAUGAAUUGCUUAAUUUGUUUGUAUCAAAAAGGAAAUGUAAGGAUAUGCCUCACACACAAAUGUGCAAACUAAGCACUAGUUUUCUUGGUUUUUUUUGUAACAACCAGACUGCAUGAAUAUGUGCGCUGGUAUCCAACAAAUAAGAAUUAUAAUGAAUAAACAAAACUGUCAUUAAUUUUCUUAUGAUACCCCACCCAUUAUUGGGAUCUGUAUCUUCCUAAUUUCAUUGAAAGAUGAUUUAAUUUCUUUUAUUUUAAUAAAAACAUUGUGGAAGCAGAUUGUGUCAUUUAGGUAUUUUGAAUAAUGGUGCCAAAGUUUCCCUCAGUUCAAGAAAUAGCAAGAAAAAAGUUUCUGUUUACAUAUUAUUUAAAAUAUAUAUGGUUAUUUUUAUUUGAAUAAUUAUAGAUUUUUUUGAAUACUGUCCAAGCAUAAGUUUAAACACAGGUUUCCAACUUUUUUCCACGAGUUCACUCUUUUUAGUUGGUUUUUCCUGACCGGUGUGAUUGUCAAUGAUAGCGAUUUUGCCAUUUUUUUCUCUCUCUAACAAUGUACAAGAAU
This 982-nucleotide long non-coding RNA is filed under the name Mytilus galloprovincialis (Mediterranean mussel). Lineage: Eukaryota; Metazoa; Mollusca; Bivalvia; Mytilida; Mytilidae. The record is from RNAcentral.